RNAcentral lists this non-coding RNA (22 nucleotides) under Arabidopsis thaliana (thale cress). Lineage: Eukaryota; Viridiplantae; Streptophyta; Magnoliopsida; Brassicales; Brassicaceae. The record is from RNAcentral.
UUGGACUGAAGGGAGCUCCCUA